This is a long non-coding RNA of Solanum dulcamara, 347 nucleotides long. RefSeq lists it as uncharacterized. The record is from RefSeq and is a predicted model, not a curated record. The transcript has 3 exons. NCBI's taxonomy places the organism in Eukaryota, Viridiplantae, Streptophyta, Magnoliopsida, Solanales, Solanaceae.
GAGAAAUUAAGGUAGAAAGAAGGAAAGAGCUACGGUUUUGGGAGGAGAAAAAGGUAAGUUCUCCAAUUCCGUUCCAAGAAUUAAUUAUAUGAGUUAUACCAUGAUGUUAUGAAGAUAUUAGUAAUGAAAUUUUAUGGUUUGAAGCAGCCCAAAACGUUACCAAACAGCCAAUAAGUUUCAGCUGCGCUAAAGGAAAUUCUGAGGCGAGUUUUGGCGAGUUUUGGUGAAUUUCGGGAAAGGUUCAAGAGACGACGAGGCGAGCAUAGUUAAGAGUAAUCCGUAAGAGGUACAGAUGAUUGGUUUGCUGAUCCGCUCGCUUAGGACAUCCACCAUGUUGGUCGACAGUG